UACGUAGGGUGCAAGCGUUAAUCGGAAUUACUGGGCGUAAAGCGUGCGCAGGCGGUUUUGUAAGUCUGACGUGAAAUCCCCGGGCUUAACCUGGGAAUUGCGUUGGAGACUGCAAGGCUGGAGUCUGGCAGAGGGGGGGUAGAAUUCCACGUGUAGCAGUGAAAUGCGUAGAGAUGUGGAGGAACACCGAUGGCGAAGGCAGCCCCCUGGGUCAAGACUGGACGCUCAUGCACGAAAGCGUGGGG
This 245-nucleotide ribosomal RNA is filed under the name uncultured bacterium. RNAcentral's name for it is "partial 16S ribosomal RNA". It matches the Rfam family "Bacterial small subunit ribosomal RNA", at positions 524 to 766 of the family's 1533-position model. The record is from RNAcentral.